Molecule: unclassified non-coding RNA, 338 nt
Filed under: soil metagenome
Description: partial contains 5.8S ribosomal RNA, internal transcribed spacer 2, and large subunit ribosomal RNA
Rfam family: 5.8S ribosomal RNA (bases 1-120)
Source: RNAcentral
GAUGAAGAACGUAGUGAAAUGCGAAAAGUAGUGUGAAUUGCAGAAUUCAGUGAAUCAUCGAAUCUUUGAACGCACAUUGCGCCCCUUGGUAUUCCUUAGGGCAUGCCUGUUCGAGCGUCAUUUAAACCCUUCAAGCUCAGCUUGGUGUUGGGUGACUGUCCGCCGCCCCCGGGCGCGGACUCGCCCCAAAUUCAUUGGCGGCCGGUACGUAGGCUUCGAGCGCAGCAGAAACGCGAACUCGGGCCCGCGGUGUCGGCUCCCAGAAGCCAUCUCUUUUAUUUUGACCUCGGAUCAGGUAGGGAUACCCGCUGAACUUAAGCAUAUCAAUAAGCGGAGGA